UACGGGGGGGGCAAGCGUUGUUCGGAAUUACUGGGCGUAAAGGGCUCGUAGGUGGCCAACUAAGUCAGACGUGAAAUCCCUCGGCUUAACCGGGGAACUGCGUCUGAUACUGGAUGGCUUGAGUUCGGGAGAGGGAUGCGGAAUUCCAGGUGUAGCGGUGAAAUGCGUAGAUAUCUGGAGGAACACCGGUGGCGAAGGCGGCAUUCUGGACUGUAACUGACACUGAGGAACGAAAGCCAGGGGAGCAAACGGG
This 253-nucleotide ribosomal RNA is filed under the name uncultured bacterium. RNAcentral describes it as "partial 16S ribosomal RNA". It matches the Rfam family "Bacterial small subunit ribosomal RNA", at positions 524 to 776 of the family's 1533-position model. The record is from RNAcentral.